RNAcentral lists this ribosomal RNA (856 nucleotides) under uncultured Flavobacteriia bacterium. Its description in RNAcentral is "bacterial SSU rRNA". It matches the Rfam family "Bacterial small subunit ribosomal RNA", at positions 8 to 867 of the family's 1533-position model. Lineage: Bacteria; Pseudomonadati; Bacteroidota; Flavobacteriia. The record is from RNAcentral.
AGGGUUUGAUCCUGGCUCAGGAUGAACGCUAGCGGCAGGCUUAACACAUGCAAGUCGAGGGGUAGAGGCUUUCGGGCCUUGAGACCGGCGCACGGGUGCGUAACGCGUAUGCAAUCUGCCUUGUACAAAGGGAUAGCCCAGAGAAAUUUGGAUUAAUACCUUAUAGUAUACUGAUGUGGCAUCACAUUAAUAUUAAAGAUUUAUCGGUACAAGAUGAGCAUGCGUCCCAUUAGCUAGUUGGUAUGGUAACGGCAUACCAAGGCAAUGAUGGGUAGGGGUCCUGAGAGGGAGAUCCCCCACACUGGUACUGAGACACGGACCAGACUCCUACGGGAGGCAGCAGUGAGGAAUAUUGGACAAUGGGCGCAAGCCUGAUCCAGCCAUGCCGCGUGCAGGAUGAAGCAUCUAUGGUGUGUAAACUGCUUUUAUACGGGAAGAAACCCUGGCUCGUGAGCCAGAUUGACGGUACCGUAGGAAUAAGGAUCGGCUAACUCCGUGCCAGCAGCCGCGGUAAUACGGAGGAUCCAAGCGUUAUCCGGAAUCAUUGGGUUUAAAGGGUCCGUAGGCGGUUUUAUAAGUCAGUGGUGAAAUCCGGUAGCUCAACUAUCGAACGGCCAUUGAUACUGUAGAACUUGAAUUAUUGUGAAGUAACUAGAAUAUGUAGUGUAGCGGUGAAAUGCUUAGAUAUUACAUGGAAUACCAAUUGCGAAGGCAGGUUACUAACAAUACAUUGACGCUGAUGGACGAAAGCGUGGGGGAGCGAACAGGAUUAGAUACCCUGGUAGUCCACGCCGUAAACGAUGGAUACUAGCUGUUUGGUAGCAAUACUGAGUGGCUAAGCGAAAGUGAUAAGUAU